GACGGAGGAUGCAAGCGUUAUCCGGAAUUAUUGGGCGUAAAGCGUCCGCAGGUGGCUAGUCAAGUCUGCUGUCAAAGCGCGGAGCUUAACUUCGUAAAGGCAGUGGAAACUGAUUAGCUAGAGCAUGGUAGGGGUAGAGGGAAUUCCCGGUGUAGCGGUGAAAUGCGUAGAGAUCGGGAAGAACACCGGUGGCGAAGGCGGCCUGCUGGGCAGUUGCUGACACUGAGGCGCGACAGCGUGGGGAGCAAACAGG
This 253-nucleotide ribosomal RNA is filed under the name uncultured bacterium. RNAcentral describes it as "partial 16S ribosomal RNA". It matches the Rfam family "Bacterial small subunit ribosomal RNA", at positions 524 to 776 of the family's 1533-position model. The record is from RNAcentral.